AAAUUGAAGAGUUUGAUCAUGGCUCAGAUUGAACGCUGGCGGCAGGCCUAACACAUGCAAGUCGAACGGUAACAGGAAGCAGCUUGCUGCUUUGCUGACGAGUGGCGGACGGGUGAGUAAUGUCUGGGAAACUGCCUGAUGGAGGGGGAUAACUACUGGAAACGGUGGCUAAUACCGCAUAACGUCGCAAGACCAAAGAGGGGGACCUUCGGGCCUCUUGCCAUCAGAUGUGCCCAGAUGGGAUUAGCUAGUUGGUGAGGUAACGGCUCACCAAGGCGACGAUCCCUAGCUGGUCUGAGAGGAUGACCAGCCACACUGGAACUGAGACACGGUCCAGACUCCUACGGGAGGCAGCAGUGGGGAAUAUUGCACAAUGGGCGCAAGCCUGAUGCAGCCAUGCCGCGUGUAUGAAGAAGGCCUUAGGGUUGUAAAGUACUUUCAGCGGGGAGGAAGGUGUUGCGGUUAAUAACCGCAGCAAUUGACGUUACCCGCAGAAGAAGCACCGGCUA
Molecule: ribosomal RNA, 509 nt
Filed under: Salmonella enterica subsp. enterica serovar Thompson
Lineage: Bacteria; Pseudomonadati; Pseudomonadota; Gammaproteobacteria; Enterobacterales; Enterobacteriaceae
Also listed under: 2 other names
Description: bacterial SSU rRNA
Rfam family: Bacterial small subunit ribosomal RNA
Source: RNAcentral